Long non-coding RNA from Gallus gallus (chicken), 2796 nucleotides. RefSeq lists it as uncharacterized. The transcript has 2 exons. NCBI's taxonomy places the organism in Eukaryota, Metazoa, Chordata, Aves, Galliformes, Phasianidae. The record is from RefSeq and is a predicted model, not a curated record.
AGCCAGAGGGGACCGUGUUUAAAGGCAUUCCUGAAAGAGAGUGAGAUACGUGCUCAGAACCAUGGAAUCCAGGCAUUUUCAGAAUCACGGGGUAAGUUUGGGAAGGAAGACGGAAUCUCGAUGUCCGUUUUAAUUAAAGACACCCACCUUGGGAAUCAAACUUUAUUUUCACUCUCUUACUCCCACAUUUACCUGUCUACAAGCUGGUGAUUCAUCCUCAGAAUAAAGGACAUUAAUUUAAAACAAAACAUAUAAUUAAAGGAAGUAGGAGUGUCCUUCGCCUCAGUAAAGAAGACCCAGCACUGCAGGGAAAAUGACACUGCCUCUUAGAAUAAUGUGAAGCAAUCCUGCGGUGUGGGAAAUAUGGUAACGUUAAGCCAGAGGAACAGGUAUUGCAUUAUACGAUUCAAACAGUCAACUGUUCAUAAUGUUCAAACCUCAGAACUUUGAAAAGGGGAAGAAUUCAGAAAUAUGUCAGUGGAUCACUGGAUCUUUCUUGUAUUUUUAUGUUUACAUUUCCUUUGCACAUUUCAAGAGGGUUUUGCUUUCCAUAACAAAAGUACCCCAGCAGGUUUUUGGGCUUCAAAUAUUUCUAGUUCUGUCUUUAUCUCCAAGUUAAUCUUUGGUGAAUGCAUCGGAGAUUAAAUUGGAGCUGGGCCUGGCCAGAGGUCUGGGUCUGGAGGUUGGAGCCCAUACCUUCAUAAAUACAAACAUCUGUGUUGGGUGCAAAUACUGACAAGUCUCAGUGAGCCAGGGCUUGUUCUCCUGGCUGUUUUCUCUGUUGCGCUGUGUCCUUAUCCUGAGUUCUGAUCUGGCGGUUGCAUCCAGCAGCUGCCCUAACUGGCCCUUGCAACUGAACUCUUGAAAUUCAGCCUCAUGUGCUUCCUACCUCCAAACAUCUCAGGAACCCAUAAGGAGAAGGUCUCCUGCCACGGCCACCUGCUGCAAUGGCUCUGGUGUUUCUUGGCAUGAUCCUGACAGGUCUCCAACGUCUUGCCACAGCCAUUGGCUGAACCAGGGCCCUGCAACCCAUCAGUUACAUUUCUUGGGCAUUUUUUUAAAGAUAUUCUCAGAGACCUGAAUUUGCCCUCUCCAAAUUUCUGCCCUAUUCUCUGCUGCUCAGCAUCCGAAAGCUGUGCUCCCACCCAGGCUGAUCUUCCCUAACAAAACAAAAUGUCUGCGCAAUUGUCAUGUGAAAUAGAUUAUAUCAGAGAUGGUGUGGCCCACACCUCCUUUUCCAGGCCAGUGCUGAGUAAUCCCAUAGUCACUGGGAUCACACGUCAGCUGGAGUGGUAAUUGAGGUUGGAUGCCCAGCUGGUCCCCUCCUUCCCUGCUCCCCCCUCACCUCCCUGCUCUGCUGGGAUCUCUUUAAACUUCCUCCAGCUCACCUCAAAUCCCAGCAUCCACUCUCAUGGAGCUCUCAGCUUCUCAUGGGAACCUUGUUGGCGAGACUAACCACUUAUCCAAAGCCCUAACAUUCAGCAAGCAGGUUUUGAGCUAACUCUGGUCUCUUUUAAAUUGUUUCUGCACUUGUCAUAACAAAUGCAUGGCCAGAAAUGGGGCUUUUGAAAUGGAAAGGGGCGUAGAGCAAAGCUUGCAGCACAGAGUUGGGUGGAGGUCUUGGCACACCGAGCUCCAUCCCUGUCAGUGCCACGGCUCGGCCUGGCCUGGCCUGGCCUGGCCUGAUGUACAGAGGCUGCAAACUGUCCUGGAAAGUCUUCUCCAUAGAGAGAUAGGAAAAGAGAUGUGGGUGUUCCUGGUGAAGGGAUCACCCGAUGAAAAACUCAGGAGCAGCAGCAAUUGGUUCCUUUACAGUUCUCCUGGCAGCAAAUUUCAGCAGAAAGGCAGCGUUUCUCUGAAAAGCGCCUUCUUUCUGGUGAUUUCAUGAUUUAAUUUUUCAGCUGGGGGAGGAGAUAGCAUUAUUCACAAAUUACUUAGUGAGAACAUCUACAUUCCCUAGGGAAAAAAAAAAAUCUGAUGCAAUAAAAUCCAGAUUCCUCUUUAUUCAUGUGUGAAAGAAGAUAGAUAGUGGAGGGGUAAGACAAGAAUGUGGGAAGGGGGAAAAAGUGGAGGGAAGAAUCUCAUCUUCACCACUCUUUUCUGUCAUGAAUUAAAUUCUGCUCUACAUUUUCCCUUUUACACUGUAGAAAGACACAGCUUUCCAGCUGCAGGCUCAGACCUAUGAUAAGACGUUGCAGAGACACAUUAUUCCUGAAAAUUGUCUUCUUUUCCAGGAUUUCCAGCAGGCUCUCCAAUUCCCACACUGCAGGUCUAUAGCAGCUGUCCUGGAAGGACACUAGCUUUAGGGAGAUGCUAUUAAUGUAAUGGUCACAGAUCAAACACUGAAGAUUUUGUAAGAAAAUCUGUGGGCUGAGGGUUUGUACUCUAGAAAAAGGCUGUCUAUAAUUUUAGAUGCCUCUUGCUGAAGACUCGUCUUGCAUGUUGUUUGCCUUGCAGUAUCUCCUGGCAGAUCAGUGAGAUCAGAGGUGCAUCAUGCUAAACGCUGUGUGGACACAGCCCCUCACUGCAGCCCAAUGCAAAGCAUGGAGAGGCAGAAGAGGGGCAAAGAUUAAAGAAGAUAAUGCCAGAAGUCAACAGUUGCAUCACUGAACAAGGUGCUGCUGGUAGUGUGCUGGAGUCCCAGGUCCCUCUUCAUACAGCCGUGCACCUUACACCAGCACCAACUCGUAAGUUGUACCUGGCAGAGGCUCGAUUCCGACCUGUUGCUUUCCACGUGCUGUUCUCCACUGCUAAAAAUAAAUAAAUAAUAAAAGACACAGUGUUCAUGAAAUGUCA